GGAAACCUGCCCAGAAGCGGGGGAUAACACCUGGAAACAGAUGCUAAUACCGCAUAACAACUUGGACCGCAUGGUCCGAGCUUGAAAGAUGGCUUCGGCUAUCACUUUUGGAUGGUCCCGCGGCGUAUUAGCUAGAUGGUGAGGUAACGGCUCACCAUGGCAAUGAUACGUAGCCGACCUGAGAGGGUAAUCGGCCACAUUGGGACUGAGACACGGCCCAAACUCCUACGGGAGGCAGCAGUAGGGAAUCUUCCACAAUGGACGAAAGUCUGAUGGAGCAACGCCGCGUGAGUGAAGAAGGGUUUCGGCUCGUAAAACUCUGUUGUUAAAGAAGAACAUAUCUGAGAGUAACUGUUCAGGUAUUGACGGUAUUUAACCAGAAAGCCACGGCUAACUACGUGCCAGCAGCCGCGGUAAUACGUAGGUGGCAAGCGUUGUCCGGAUUUAUUGGGCGUAAAGCGAGCGCAGGCGGUUUUUUAAGUCUGAUGUGAAAGCCUUCGGCUCAACCGAAGAAGUGCAUCGGAAACUGGGAAACUUGAGUGCAGAAGAGGACAGUGGAACUCCAUGUGUAGCGGUGAAAUGCGUAGAUAUAUGGAAGAACACCAGUGGCGAAGGCGGCUGUCUGGUCUGUAACUGACGCUGAGGCUCGAAAGUAUGGGUAGCAAACAGGAUUAGAUACCCUGGUAGUCCAUACCGUAAACGAUGAAUGCUAAGUGUUGGAGGGUUUCCGCCCUUCAGUGCUGCAGCUAACGCAUUAAGCAUUCCGCCUGGGGAGUACGGCCGCAAGGCUGAAACUCAAAGGAAUUGACGGGGGCCCGCACAAGCGGUGGAGCAUGUGGUUUAAUUCGAAGCUACGCGAAGAACCUUACCAGGUCUUGACAUACUAUGCAAAUCUAAGAGAUUAGACGUUCCCUUCGGGGACAUGGAUACAGGUGGUGCAUGGUUGUCGUCAGCUCGUGUCGUGAGAUGUUGGGUUAAGUCCCGCAACGAGCGCAACCCUUAUUAUCAGUUGCCAGCAUUAAGUUGGGCACUCUGGUGAGACUGCCGGUGACAAACCGGAGGAAGGUGGGGAUGACGUCAAAUCAUCAUGCCCCUUAUGACCUGGGCUACACACGUGCUACAAUGGAUGGUACAACGAGUUGCGAACUCGCGAGAGUAAGCUAAUCUCUUAAAGCCAUUCUCAGUUCGGAUUGUAGGCUGCAACUCGCCUACAUGAAGUCGGAAUCGCUAGUAAUCGCGGAUCAGCAUGCCGCGGUGAAUACGUUCCCGGGCCUUGUACACACC
This 1284-nucleotide ribosomal RNA is filed under the name Lactiplantibacillus plantarum. RNAcentral's name for it is "bacterial SSU rRNA". It matches the Rfam family "Bacterial small subunit ribosomal RNA", at positions 120 to 1391 of the family's 1533-position model. The record is from RNAcentral. Lineage: Bacteria; Bacillati; Bacillota; Bacilli; Lactobacillales; Lactobacillaceae.